Molecule: ribosomal RNA, 393 nt
Filed under: Uroglenopsis americana
Lineage: Eukaryota; Chrysophyceae; Chromulinales; Chromulinaceae
Description: partial small subunit ribosomal RNA
Rfam family: Eukaryotic small subunit ribosomal RNA
Source: RNAcentral
GCUUGUCUCAAAGAUUAAGCCAUGCAUGUGUAAGUAUCAGAAGUCUGAACUUCAAAACUGCGAAUGGCUCAUUAUAUCAGUUAUAGUUUAUUUGAUGGUUCAUACUACUUGGAUAACCGUAGUAAUUCUAGAGCUAAUACAUGCGUCAAAACCCAACUUCUGGGAGGGUUGUAUUUAUUAGAUGGAAACCAAUGCGGGGCAACCCGGUAUAUGGUGAUUCAUAAUAACUUUCGGAUCGAUCUUCGGAUCGAUGCAUCAUUCAAGUUUCUGCCCUAUCAGCUUUGGAUGGUAGGGUAUUGGCCUACCAUGGCUUUAACGGGUAACGGAGAAUUAGGGUUCGAUUCCGGAGAGGGAGCCUGAGAAAUGGCUACCACAUCCAAGGAAGGCAGCAGG